CGCGUGGGAACAUACCCUCCGGUUCGGAAUAACUCAGGGAAACGUUUGAGCUAAUACCGGAUACGGCUGAGAGGCGAAAGAUUUAUCGCCGGAGGAUUGGCCCGCGUUCGAUUAGCUUGUUGGUGAGGUAACGGCUCACCAAGGCGACGAUCGAUAGCUGGUCUGAGAGGAUGAUCAGCCACAUUGGGACUGAGACACGGCCCAAACUCCUACGGGAGGCAGCAGUGGGGAAUAUUGGACAAUGGGCGCAAGCCUGAUCCAGCCAUGCCGCGUGAGUGAUGACGGCCUUAGGGUUGUAAA
This 300-nucleotide ribosomal RNA is filed under the name uncultured Methylocystaceae bacterium. RNAcentral's name for it is "bacterial SSU rRNA". It matches the Rfam family "Bacterial small subunit ribosomal RNA", at positions 114 to 429 of the family's 1533-position model. Lineage: Bacteria; Pseudomonadati; Pseudomonadota; Alphaproteobacteria; Hyphomicrobiales; Methylocystaceae. The record is from RNAcentral.